Molecule: transfer RNA, 74 nt
Filed under: Parabacteroides merdae
Lineage: Bacteria; Pseudomonadati; Bacteroidota; Bacteroidia; Bacteroidales; Tannerellaceae
Description: tRNA-Glu(ctc)
Rfam family: tRNA
About the family: Transfer RNA (tRNA) molecules are approximately 80 nucleotides in length. Their secondary structure includes four short double-helical elements and three loops (D, anti-codon, and T loops). Further hydrogen bonds mediate the characteristic L-shaped molecular structure. tRNAs have two regions of fundamental functional importance: the anti-codon, which is responsible for specific mRNA codon recognition, and the 3' end, to which the tRNAs corresponding amino acid is attached (by aminoacyl-tRNA synthetases). tRNAs cope with the degeneracy of the genetic code in two manners: having more than one tRNA (with a specific anti-codon) for a particular amino acid; and 'wobble' base-pairing, i.e. permitting non-standard base-pairing at the 3rd anti-codon position.
Source: RNAcentral
GGUGCAUUCGUCUAGUGGUCUAGGACGCCGCCCUCUCACGGCGGAAACUCGGGUUCGAACCCCGGACGCACUAC